This 76-nucleotide transfer RNA is filed under the name Parcubacteria group bacterium CG2_30_36_18. RNAcentral describes it as "tRNA-Arg". It matches the Rfam family "tRNA". From Rfam's summary of the family: Transfer RNA (tRNA) molecules are approximately 80 nucleotides in length. Their secondary structure includes four short double-helical elements and three loops (D, anti-codon, and T loops). RNAcentral also lists the same sequence under 4 other names. The record is from RNAcentral.
GCCCCUGUAGUUCAACGGAUAGAACAGUCCCGUCCUAAGGGAAAAAUUGGGGGUUCAAUUCCUCCCAGGGGCACAA